GUUGAGUAUUUGGUCGUAGACCCGAAACCAGGUGAUCUACCCUUGGUCAGGUUGAAGUUCAGGUAACACUGAAUGGAGGACCGAACCGACUUACGUUGAAAAGUGAGCGGAUGAACUGAGGGUAGCGGAGAAAUUCCAAUCGAACUUGGAGAUAGCUGGUUCUCUCCGAAAUAGCUUUAGGGCUAGCCUCAAGUGAUGAUUAUUGGAGGUAGAGCACUGUUUGGACGAGGGGCCCCUCUCGGGUUACCGAAUUCAGACAAACUCCGAAUGCCAAUCAAUUUAACUUGGGAGUCAGAACAUGGGUGAUAAGGUCCGUGUUCGAAAGGGAAACAGCCCAGACCACCAGCUAAGGUCCCAAAAUAUAUGUUAAGUGGAAAAGGAUGUGGCGUUGCCCAGACAACUAGGAUGUUGGCUUAGAAGCAGCCAUCAUUUAAAGAGUGCGUAAUAGCUCACUAGUCGAGUGACACUGCGCCGAAAAUGUACCGGGGCUAAACAUAUUACCGAAGCUGUGGAUUGUCCGUAGGACAAUGGUAGGAGAGCGUUCUAAGGGCGUUGAAGCAUGAUCGCAAGGACAUGUGGAGCGCUUAGAAGUGAGAAUGCCGGUGUGAGUAGCGAAAGACGGGUGAGAAUCCCGUCCACCGAUUGACUAAGGUUUCCAGAGGAAGGCUCGUCCGCUCUGGGUUAGUCGGGUCCUAAGCUGAGGCCGACAGGCGUAGGCGAUGGAUAACAGGUUGAUAUUCCUGUACCACCUAGUAUCGUUUUAAUCGAUGGGGGGACGCAGUAGGAUAGGCGAAGCGUGCUGUUGGAGUGCACGUCCAAGCAGUAAGGCUGAGUGUUAGGCAAAUCCGGCACUCGUAAGGCUGAGCUGUGAUGGGGAGAGGAAAUUGUUUCCUCGAGUCGUUGAUUUCACACUGCCGAGAAAAGCCUCUAGAUAGAUAACAGGUGCCCGUACCGCAAACCGACACAGGUAGUCAAGAUGAGAAUUCUAAGGUGAGCGAGCGAACUCUCGUUAAGGAACUCGGCAAAAUGACCCCGUAACUUCGGGAGAAGGGGUGCUCUUUAGGGUUCACGCCCAGAAGAGCCGCAGUGAAUAGGCCCAAGCGACUGUUUAUCAAAAACACAGGUCUCUGCUAAACCGUAAGGUGAUGUAUAGGGGCUGACGCCUGCCCGGUGCUGGAAGGUUAAGAGGAGUGGUUAGCUUCUGCGAAGCUACGAAUCGAAGCCCCAGUAAACGGCGGCCGUAACUAUAACGGUCCUAAGGUAGCGAAAUUCCUUGUCGGGUAAGUUCCGACCCGCACGAAAGGCGUAACGAUUUGGGCACUGUCUCAACGAGAGACUCGGUGAAAUCAUAGUACCUGUGAAGAUGCAGGUUACCCGCGACAGGACGGAAAGACCCCGUGGAGCUUUACUGUAGCCUGAUAUUGAAAUUCGGCACAGCUUGUACAGGAUAGGUAGGAGCCAUUGAAACGUGAGCGCUAGCUUACGUGGAGGCGUUGGUGGGAUACUACCCUAGCUGUGUUGGCUUUCUAACCCGCACCACUUAUCGUGGUGGGAGACAGUGUCAGGCGGGCAGUUUGACUGGGGCGGUCGCCUCCUAAAAGGUAACGGAGGCGCUCAAAGGUUCCCUCAGAAUGGUUGGAAAUCAUUCACAGAGUGUAAAGGCAUAAGGGAGCUUGACUGCGAGACCUACAAGUCGAGCAGGGUCGAAAGACGGACUUAGUGAUCCGGUGGUUCCGCAUGGAAGGGCCAUCGCUCAACGGAUAAAAGCUACCCCGGGGAUAACAGGCUUAUCUCCCCCAAGAGUUCACAUCGACGGGGAGGUUUGGCACCUCGAUGUCGGCUCAUCGCAUCCUGGGGCUGUAGUCGGUCCCAAGGGUUGGGCUGUUCGCCCAUUAAAGCGGUACGCGAGCUGGGUUCAGAACGUCGUGAGACAGUUCGGUCCCUAUCCGUCGUGGGCGUAGGAAAUUUGAGAGGAGCUGUCCUUAGUACGAGAGGACCGGGAUGGACAUACCUCUGGUGUACCAGUUGUCGUGCCAACGGCAUAGCUGGGUAGCUAUGUAUGGACGGGAUAAGUGCUGAAAGCAUCUAAGCAUGAAGCCC
Molecule: ribosomal RNA, 2100 nt
Filed under: Listeria monocytogenes
Lineage: Bacteria; Bacillati; Bacillota; Bacilli; Caryophanales; Listeriaceae
Description: partial 23S ribosomal RNA
Rfam family: Bacterial large subunit ribosomal RNA
Source: RNAcentral